GAUCAUGGCUCAGGACGAACGCUGGCGGCGUGCCUAAUACAUGCAAGUAGAACGCACAGUAUAUACCGUAGCUUGCUACACCAUAGACUGUGAGUUGCGAACGGGUGAGUAACGCGUAGGUAACCUGCCUGGUAGCGGGGGAUAACUAUUGGAAACGAUAGCUAAUACCGCAUAAUAUUAAUUAUUGCAUGAUAAUUGAUUAAAAGGUGCAAUUGCAUCACUACCAGA
This 228-nucleotide ribosomal RNA is filed under the name uncultured bacterium. Its description in RNAcentral is "partial 16S ribosomal RNA". It matches the Rfam family "Bacterial small subunit ribosomal RNA", at positions 15 to 225 of the family's 1533-position model. The record is from RNAcentral.